GUGGGGAAUAUUGGACAAUGGGCGAAAGCCUGAUCCAGCCAUGCCGCGUGUGUGAAGAAGGUCUUCGGAUUGUAAAGCACUUUAAGUUGGGAGGAAGGGCAGUAAGUUAAUACCUUGCUGUUUUGACGUUACCGACAGAAUAAGCACCGGCUAACUUCGUGCCAGCAGCCGCGGUAAUACGAAGGGUGCAAGCGUUAAUCGGAAUUACUGGGCGUAAAGCGCGCGUUGGUGGUUUUGUAAGUUGGAGGUGAAAUCCCCGGGCUCAACCUGGGAACUGCCUCCAAAACUGCAUGACUAGAGUACGGUAGAGGGUAGUGGAAUUUCCUGUGUAGCGGUGAAAUGCGUAGAUAUAGGAAGGAACACCAGUGGCGAAGGCGACUACCUGGACUGAUACUGACACUGAGGUGCGAAAGCGUGGGGAGCAAACAGGAUUAGAUACCCUAGUAGUCC
RNAcentral lists this ribosomal RNA (450 nucleotides) under uncultured bacterium. RNAcentral's name for it is "partial 16S ribosomal RNA". It matches the Rfam family "Bacterial small subunit ribosomal RNA", at positions 354 to 796 of the family's 1533-position model. The record is from RNAcentral.